UACGGAGGGUGCAAGCGUUAUCCGGAUUCACUGGGUUUAAAGGGUGCGUAGGUGGGCAAGUAAGUCAGUGGUGAAAUCUCCGGGCUUAACCCGGAAACUGCCAUUGAUACUAUUUGUCUUGAAUACUGUGGAGGUCAGCGGAAUAUGUCAUGUAGCGGUGAAAUGCUUAGAUAUGACAUAGAACACCAAUUGCGAAGGCAGCUGGCUACACAAAUAUUGACACUGAGGCACGAAAGCCAGGGGAGCAAACGGG
This 253-nucleotide ribosomal RNA is filed under the name uncultured bacterium. RNAcentral describes it as "partial 16S ribosomal RNA". It matches the Rfam family "Bacterial small subunit ribosomal RNA", at positions 524 to 776 of the family's 1533-position model. The record is from RNAcentral.